CUGCAUUCACUGACCUUGAAAAAUUUGCUAUUGCUCUUUGGUUUGCAAUAGGAUGUGAAAGAAAAAUCUCUGCACUUUCUGCCUUUGUGGCACCCUGGAAUGAACUGGAGAAUACAUUU
Oryctolagus cuniculus (rabbit) is the source of this 119-nucleotide small nucleolar RNA. Lineage: Eukaryota; Metazoa; Chordata; Mammalia; Lagomorpha; Leporidae. The record is from Ensembl.